UACAUGGGGUGCAAACGUUGCUCGAAAUUAUUGGGCGUAAAGCGCGCGUAGGCGGUUACUUAUGUCGGAUGUGAAAGCCCUCGGCUUAACUGAGGAAGUGCAUUCGAAACUGGGUAGCUAGAGUACUAAAGAGGGUCGCGGAAUUCCCGGUGUAGAGGUGAAAUUCGUAGAUAUCGGGAGGAACACCGGUGGCGAAGGCGGCGACCUGGGUAGAUACUGACGCUGAGGCGCGAAAGCCAGGGGAGCAAACGGG
This 253-nucleotide ribosomal RNA is filed under the name uncultured bacterium. RNAcentral's name for it is "partial 16S ribosomal RNA". It matches the Rfam family "Bacterial small subunit ribosomal RNA", at positions 524 to 776 of the family's 1533-position model. The record is from RNAcentral.